Long non-coding RNA from Elgaria multicarinata webbii, 776 nucleotides. RefSeq lists it as uncharacterized. The record is from RefSeq and is a predicted model, not a curated record. The transcript is spliced from 3 exons. NCBI's taxonomy places the organism in Eukaryota, Metazoa, Chordata, Lepidosauria, Squamata, Anguidae.
GACAUUCUUCUCAUAGAUCCAAAUCAGAGCUGGAGUCUCUCAGAUCUCCUUUUGGUUAUCAACAUAGGUACCAAAGUAGCCAUGCUGAUUUAAGCCCAGUUUCCCUCGCAUGUUCUCAGCUGCAGAAUUACGAUCCUGACAGAGCUUUAACAGAUUAUAUUAAACGUCUGGAAGCUCUACAGAGGCGACUCGGCAGUGUACAGUCAGCAUCUUCUUCACAUACUCAACUGCAUUCUGGUAUCAGAAGAUAAUCUUUGCAACAUUUCACCACUGGUAGUGACAUCGAAUGAAAUGCCUUUUGCAAAUCUGUGCUGCUGCUGCUGUUGCUGUGCUUUUGUAUAAUGUGUAUAUUGUGGGACCAACAUGAACACAGCUCAACGAUUGUAUGCAGUUCACCUUGCUGGCACCUCUACAAAGACUGGAACUGAUGUAUAUAGGCACUUUUUGUGAUCAUUCAAAACUGAUCAUUAAAUUUCAUGUAUAUUUGUGGAAUUCUAAUUUAAACAAUUAAAUUAUUAAAGUGUGUAUUUAUCACAUGAGUGCGAGGAUGAAACCUUUUAUGUAUUGAGAUUGCAGAAUGCGUAUUUCCAAGUGCACAACAUUUUCUGAGAGAUAAGUGAAUGACUUUUCAUGAUUUUAUUCUAUUUGCUACUGGCACUGCAGAGAGAAAUAUCACUUGUAGAGACCUAUUUUUGUAAAGGUAGAAGUUUUGAAUUUUAUGGGUAUUUUGUCAAAAGUACUGAAAUAAAGAUGCUUUCAUCCUUUUAAAAACUAGA